This 253-nucleotide ribosomal RNA is filed under the name uncultured bacterium. RNAcentral describes it as "partial 16S ribosomal RNA". It matches the Rfam family "Bacterial small subunit ribosomal RNA", at positions 524 to 776 of the family's 1533-position model. The record is from RNAcentral.
GACGGAGGGGGCAAGCGUUGUUCGGAAUUAUUGGGCGUAAAGCGCACGUAGGCGGUCCUCUAAGUCGGGUGUGAAAGCCCGGGGCUUAACCCGGGAAGUGCACUCGAAACUGGAGGGCUUGAGUAUGGAAGAGGGUCUCGGAAUUCCCGGUGUAGAGGUGAAAUUCGUAGAUAUCGGGAGGAACACCAGUGGCGAAGGCGGAGACCUGGGCCAAUACUGACGCUGAGGUGCGAAAGCGUGGGGAGCAAACAGG